CGUAUACUUUGAUACACAAAUUGAGCAGGAAAUCGUGUUCGUUUUAUCUUCGAAAAGAAGUCAUUUAAAGUUCACAGUUGACGUGAAAAGAUAAAAAGAUAAAUUUACCAGAAAUUUACAAUUUUUCCUGACAAUAGUAAACAAAUUUUUCUUUUUUGGUACAGUACAAAAUUCAUCACAAAUAACACCAAACUAUCAUUUUUAUCAAACUUUCCUUUUUGGGGCGGGGUCCCUCCGACGAUAUAUAAUAAUAAAAUAAUAACAUUUAAUACCAGCUUUAUGAUAUUUUUCGUCAACUUAAUUGGUAAUUAAACUAUUGGUUGAAGCAAAACCCCUGUGUCUAAAGCUAAUAAUAGCUCCUGAACGAGACGCCGCGCAAGCUAUGGUGCGGCUUUUUUGUAUGGGACAUACUGGCCACCGCCUCCGGCGGCUUUUGAAAUUCGGAACGUGUUCUGCGGUGGGAGGAGCCGCCCUCAAUUGACUGCAGGAGGUGGUAGCUGUGGUUGGAGCUAUCGGAGAGGCAGCGGUAUGCGUGUUGCGAACUCUGUUUCUUGAUGGCGUGAAGGAGAAAUGGGAUUAAGCCUUCCAUUUGUGGACUGUAUUGAUGAUCUUUUGUAAUGAAUUAUGAAUGUGAAGUAAAAAAAAUUCGAUUAUUUAUAGCUGCAAUCUUUGAGGUGAAGUGGACUAAACGCGC
RNAcentral lists this long non-coding RNA (694 nucleotides) under Olea europaea subsp. europaea. The record is from RNAcentral. Lineage: Eukaryota; Viridiplantae; Streptophyta; Magnoliopsida; Lamiales; Oleaceae.